This 468-nucleotide ribosomal RNA is filed under the name uncultured bacterium. Its description in RNAcentral is "partial 16S ribosomal RNA". It matches the Rfam family "Bacterial small subunit ribosomal RNA", at positions 28 to 507 of the family's 1533-position model. The record is from RNAcentral.
GACGAACGCUGGCGGCGUGCUUAACACAUGCAAGUCGAACGGAAAGGCCCUGCUUUUGUGGGGUGCUCGAGUGGCGAACGGGUGAGUAACACGUGAGUAACCUGCCCUUGACUUUGGGAUAACUUCAGGAAACUGGGGCUAAUACCGGAUAGGUGCUCCUGCUGCAUGGUGGGGGUUGGAAAGUUUCGGCGGUUGGGGAUGGACUCGCGGCUUAUCAGCUUGUUGGUGGGGUAGUGGCUUACCAAGGCUUUGACGGGUAGCCGGCCUGAGAGGGUGACCGGCCACAUUGGGACUGAGAUACGGCCCAGACUCCUACGGGAGGCAGCAGUGGGGAAUAUUGCACAAUGGGCGGAAGCCUGAUGCAGCAACGCCGCGUGCGGGAUGACGGCCUUCGGGUUGUAAACCGCUUUCGCCUGUGGCGAAGCGUGAGUGACGGUAAUGGGUAAAGAAGCACCGGCUAACUACGUG